RNAcentral lists this unclassified non-coding RNA (636 nucleotides) under Hevea brasiliensis (rubber tree). Lineage: Eukaryota; Viridiplantae; Streptophyta; Magnoliopsida; Malpighiales; Euphorbiaceae. The record is from RNAcentral.
GCUCAGGCGGGGGGCGGCAUUUUUGUCGGCGGAAGAUCCAAUACCAUUUCUGGGUUUGAAUUUAGCUUCCCAAUUGGGGAGAUCCCAUUUGAGAGACUUUAAUUGAUCUGGGGAUUGGAGUAGGAGUUGAGUGAAUUUAGAUGUGGCGGAGUCUUUGGAGAGUGGGGACUUUAUUAUGGUAAUGUGUGAAGAGUUUUGAAGCUUGGGUUUCUUUUUUCUUCCAAUUGGGGUGUUUUGAAUCGAUUAGAUUGAUGGGUAUUUGUACUAGAUGCAUAUAGAUUGAGACUCUGGGAUUGAAUCUUGAACUUAAUUUGGGUAUUUUGGUUUCUGGGUGUUGGAUUUUCUGAUCCGGCAUUGAUUAAACUCAGGGGAAAUUUGGACGAACUGCUUAGCGGUGGAUCUUGGAUUAGGAGGGGAAAUUGUGUGUGUGUGUGUGUAAGAUGCAACGGGGAGAUCGAGAUGUGCAGGAUUGAGAGGAAUAAGUGGACAUUGAAGAGCUCUAUGGUGAUGGGAUUGAAGGCAUUGGGAGAGAGCAAAGUUGAGAAGCUGAAGAGUUCAAUGGUGUCUCCAAGGUCGAAGAUGAAGCUAUGGAUGAUCCGUGCAAUGACGUCUAUUUUGCUUUGGACUUGCAUCGUG